This 253-nucleotide ribosomal RNA is filed under the name uncultured bacterium. RNAcentral's name for it is "partial 16S ribosomal RNA". It matches the Rfam family "Bacterial small subunit ribosomal RNA", at positions 524 to 776 of the family's 1533-position model. The record is from RNAcentral.
UACGUAGGGGGCUAGCGUUGUCCGGAAUCAUUGGGCGUAAAGAGCGUGUAGGCGGCCCGGUAAGUCCGCUGUGAAAGUCGGGGGCUCAACCCUCGGAUGCCGGUGGAUACUGUCGGGCUCGAGUACGGAAGAGGCGAGUGGAAUUCCUGGUGUAGCGGUGAAAUGCGUAGAUAUCGGGAGGAACACCUGAGGCGAAGGCGGGUUACUGGGCUGAUACUGACGCUGAUGCGCGAAAGCCAGGGGAGCAAACGGG